CCAGAGGCAAAAAAAAUCUAGAUAGAUAGACUUCCUAGAGAACUAUACUAUAAACAUUUUUCCCAACUCUCUGUCCUUUCCUUCCACAGUAAAAGAAGUGUAGUCAUUGUCAUCACCCAGCUCCCAGCUGUGUCUGCUUUUGUAUUGGAACUUCAGAAUUGCAAAUGGGAGGUCCUGGAUUUCCCUUGCCCCUGAAGUAUUGUGCGAGCCCCAAAAUGCUGUGGGUCUGGUGGGACUGAAUGCCUGGUUCUUAAGCUUUGCAGGUGCUGACUUUCCUGAGCAACAGUUCAACACGGACACUAGGAGUCAGUUAUGGUUUUUCCUAGCAGCUUGUUCAGCUCCUCCUCACUGCAGAUGGCACUUUUCACAACAGCCUUGAUUUGAUGUCCAGUACUGGCAGUAAACUUGAAACAGGAGAGAACAGGAAAAGAAAUCUUCUCUCAAGUGAAUCUCUGAAAGAUGAGGCCAGUGUGAUACCAGCAGUGCAGUACCAGUGAUCUUGAUUUUCUGCUUUGAUUUUUUGGAGGUGCAGAGUACUCAUUAUCCUUGACUGAGUUCAGCCAUCCAGCACUCAUAAAUCCCAGUUUCAGAAGCACAGUGCAGAUCCGAAGAGGAAGCAUUUCAGCUCACUGUCUGCUUAAAAAAUUCUUCACUGAGUGCUUCACGUGGAGACUGCUAAGCAAAGCGAAGGACCCAGAGGAAUGCUGUGUUUCCCAUAUUAAAGAGUUUGAUCACGUGAAGGCAUUUCAUUUAAUUUUUUUGCAAUUUUAAAUGGCUUGCGAAAGCUCAAAUUGAAGAGUGAGGUGUAUGGAUGAAUACAAGUUGACACUAUGAUGGGACACCUACUAAACUAUUGCUGAGGGCCAAAGAAGGCUUCUGGGUACCCGCUUCAGGCUUUUUGAAGUGACAAGCACUAACACCCAUAUUAUUUCCCCAUGAAUUGGUCUUAUCUGAUUACAAAUCUUGAAGAAGGCAAUUGGCAAGGGACAAGGUACAGAGUAAGCAUGUUAGUUUUCCUUUGAGAUUGCUCAGUAU
Molecule: long non-coding RNA, 1035 nt
Filed under: Numida meleagris (helmeted guineafowl)
Lineage: Eukaryota; Metazoa; Chordata; Aves; Galliformes; Numididae
Description: lncRNA (ENSNMEG00000008915.1)
Source: RNAcentral